GGAGUUGUCUGGUGGAUACUAUAGUUUCAAGGAAAGAGUUACAAGUUGCAUGGGCUGGUAUUGCCUAUGUGAUGUUGGUUCUUAUAGUAGAACGACUCAUCAUUGAGGAUGACUCGGCCACUAUGGUCAGAUGGAUUCAGAUGCGGGAUAUAGAAGAUGUUGCUCAUCUACUUCUGAGGAACAUCGCGAUGCUAUUAAGGGGGACCAC
RNAcentral lists this long non-coding RNA (208 nucleotides) under Elaeis guineensis (African oil palm). Its description in RNAcentral is "long non-coding RNA (EGUI_LNC019025)". Lineage: Eukaryota; Viridiplantae; Streptophyta; Magnoliopsida; Arecales; Arecaceae. The record is from RNAcentral.